AGGGUUUGAUUCUGGCUCAGGAUGAACGCUAGCUACAGGCUUAACACAUGCAAGUCGAGGGGCAGCGGGAUUGAAGCUUGCUUCAAUUGCCGGCGACCGGCGCACGGGUGAGUAACACGUAUCCAACCUUCCGUUUACUCGGGGAUAGCCUUUCGAAAGAAAGAUUAAUACCCGAUAGUAUGGUGAGAUUGCAUGAUAGCACCAUUAAAGAUUCAUCGGUAAACGAUGGGGAUGCGUUCCAUUAGGUAGUAGGCGGGGUAACGGCCCACCUAGCCUGCGAUGGAUAGGGGUUCUGAGAGGAAGGUCCCCCACAUUGGAACUGAGACACGGUCCAA
RNAcentral lists this ribosomal RNA (335 nucleotides) under uncultured bacterium. RNAcentral describes it as "bacterial SSU rRNA". It matches the Rfam family "Bacterial small subunit ribosomal RNA", at positions 8 to 334 of the family's 1533-position model. The record is from RNAcentral.